UACGUAGGGUGCAAGCGUUGUCCGGAAUUAUUGGGCGUAAAGAGCUCGUAGGCGGUUUGUCGCGUCUGCUGUGAAAUCCCGAGGCUCAACCUCGGGUCUGCAGUGGGUACGGGCAGACUAGAGUGUGGUAGGGGAGAUUGGAAUUCCUGGUGUAGCGGUGGAAUGCGCAGAUAUCAGGAGGAACACCGAUGGCGAAGGCAGAUCUCUGGGCCGAUACUGACGCUGAGGAGCGAAAGCGUGGGGAGCGAACAGG
RNAcentral lists this ribosomal RNA (253 nucleotides) under uncultured bacterium. Its description in RNAcentral is "partial 16S ribosomal RNA". It matches the Rfam family "Bacterial small subunit ribosomal RNA", at positions 524 to 776 of the family's 1533-position model. The record is from RNAcentral.